This 547-nucleotide ribosomal RNA is filed under the name human intestinal firmicute CS32. RNAcentral describes it as "bacterial SSU rRNA". It matches the Rfam family "Bacterial small subunit ribosomal RNA", at positions 8 to 521 of the family's 1533-position model. The record is from RNAcentral.
AGAGUUUGAUCCUGGCUCAGGACGAACGCUGGCGGCGUGCUUAACACAUGCAAGUCGAACGAGAGCGUAGAGAAAGCUUGCUUUUUCUACAAUCUAGUGGCAAACGGGUGAGUAACGCGUAAACAACCUGCCCUACGGAUGGGGACAACAGCUGGAAACGGCUGCUAAUACCGAAUACGUUCCGAAAGUCGCAUGACAGUCGGAAGAAAGGAUGGCCUCUAUUUAUAAGCUAUCGCCGGAGGAGGGGUUUGCGUCUGAUUAGCUAGUUGGAGGGGUAACGGCCCACCAAGGCGACGAUCAGUAGCCGGUCUGAGAGGAUGAACGGCCACAUUGGAACUGAGACACGGUCCAGACUCCUACGGGAGGCAGCAGUGGGGAAUCUUCCGCAAUGGGCGAAAGCCUGACGGAGCAACGCCGCGUGAGUGAAGACGGCCUUCGGGUUGUAAAGCUCUGUUAUACGGGACGAAAAGUCUUGUGGUUAAUACCCAUGAGAAGUGACGGUACCGUAAGAGAAAGCCACGGCUAACUACGUGCCAGCAGCCGCGGU